UUUAUGGAGAGUUUGAUCCUGGCUCAGGAUGAACGCUGGCGGCGUGCCUAAUACAUGCAAGUCGAGCGAACGGACGAGAAGCUUGCUUCUCUGAUGUUAGCGGCGGACGGGUGAGUAACACGUGGACAACCUACCUAUAAGACUGGGAUAACUUCGGGAAACCGUAGCUAAUACCGGAUAAUAUUUUGAACCGCAUGGUUCAAAAGUGAAAGACGGUCUUGCUGUCACUUAUAGAUGGAUCCGCGCUGCAUUAGCUAGUUGGUAAGGUAACGGCUUACCAAGGCAACGAUGCAUAGCCGACCUGAGAGGGUGAUCGGCCACACUGGAACUGAGACACGGUCCAGACUCCUACGGGAGGCAGCAGUAGGGAAUCUUCCGCAAUGGGCGAAAGCCUGACGGAGCAACGCCGCGUGAGUGAUGAAGGUCUUCGGAUCGUAAAACUCUGUUAUUAGGGAAGAACAUAUGUGUAAGUAACUGUGCACAUCUUGACGGUACCUAAUCAGAAAGCCACGGCUAACUACGUGCCAGCAGCCGCGGUAAUACGUAGGUGGCAAGCGUUAUCCGGAAUUAUUGGGCGUAAAGCGCGCGUAGGCGGUUUUUUAAGUCUGAUGUGAAAGCCCACGGCUCAACCGUGGAGGGUCAUUGGAAACUGGAAAACUUGAGUGCAGAAGAGGAAAGUGGAAUUCCAUGUGUAGCGGUGAAAUGCGCAGAGAUAUGGAGGAACACCAGUGGCGAAGGCGACUUUCUGGUCUGUAACUGACGCUGAUGUGCGAAAGCGUGGGGAUCAAACAGGAUUAGAUACCCUGGUAGUCCACGCCGUAAACGAUGAGUGCUAAGUGUUAGGGGGUUUCCGCCCCUUAGUGCUGCAGCUAACGCAUUAAGCACUCCGCCUGGGGAGUACGACCGCAAGGUUGAAACUCAAAGGAAUUGACGGGGACCCGCACAAGCGGUGGAGCAUGUGGUUUAAUUCGAAGCAACGCGAAGAACCUUACCAAAUCUUGACAUCCUUUGACAACUCUAGAGAUAGAGCCUUCCCCUUCGGGGGACAAAGUGACAGGUGGUGCAUGGUUGUCGUCAGCUCGUGUCGUGAGAUGUUGGGUUAAGUCCCGCAACGAGCGCAACCCUUAAGCUUAGUUGCCAUCAUUAAGUUGGGCACUCUAAGUUGACUGCCGGUGACAAACCGGAGGAAGGUGGGGAUGACGUCAAAUCAUCAUGCCCCUUAUGAUUUGGGCUACACACGUGCUACAAUGGACAAUACAAAGGGCAGCGAAACCGCGAGGUCAAGCAAAUCCCAUAAAGUUGUUCUCAGUUCGGAUUGUAGUCUGCAACUCGACUACAUGAAGCUGGAAUCGCUAGUAAUCGUAGAUCAGCAUGCUACGGUGAAUACGUUCCCGGGUCUUGUACACACCGCCCGUCACACCACGAGAGUUUGUAACACCCGAAGCCGGUGGAGUAACCUUUUAGGAGCUAGCCGUCGAAGGUGGGACAAAUGAUUGGGGUGAAGUCGUAACAAGGUAGCCGUAUCGGAAGGUGCGGCUGGAUCACCUCCUUUCU
RNAcentral lists this ribosomal RNA (1554 nucleotides) under Staphylococcus aureus. Its description in RNAcentral is "16S ribosomal RNA". It matches the Rfam family "Bacterial small subunit ribosomal RNA". Lineage: Bacteria; Bacillati; Bacillota; Bacilli; Caryophanales; Staphylococcaceae. The record is from RNAcentral.